Molecule: ribosomal RNA, 449 nt
Filed under: uncultured bacterium
Lineage: Bacteria
Description: partial 16S ribosomal RNA
Rfam family: Bacterial small subunit ribosomal RNA
Source: RNAcentral
CUACGGGUGGCAGCAGUGGGGAAUCUUGCGCAAUGGGGGAAACCCUGACGCAGCGACGCCGCGUGGAUGAGGAAGGCCUUCGGGUUGUAAAGUCCUGUCGCAGAGGAAGAAACGGGAAACCCUGACGGUACUCUGUGAGAAAGCACAGGCUAACUCCGUGCCAGCAGCCGCGGUAAUACGGAGUGUGCAAGCGUUGUUCGGAAUCACUGGGCGUAAAGCGAGUGUAGGCGGACGGUCAUGUCGGAUGUGAAAUUCCGGGGCUCGACCCCGGCCUGUCAUCCGAAACUGGCCGUCUUGGAGUUCGGGAGAGGGUAGCGGAAUUCCCGGUGUAGAGGUGAAAUUCGUAGAGAUCGGGAAGAACACCAGUGGCGAAGGCGGCUACCUGGACCGAUACUGACGCUGAGACUCGAAAGCGUGGGUAGCAAACAGGAUUAGAUACCCCCGUAGUC